Long non-coding RNA from Hemiscyllium ocellatum (epaulette shark), 433 nucleotides. RefSeq lists it as uncharacterized. The transcript is spliced from 3 exons. The record is from RefSeq and is a predicted model, not a curated record. NCBI's taxonomy places the organism in Eukaryota, Metazoa, Chordata, Chondrichthyes, Orectolobiformes, Hemiscylliidae.
CAACAAGCAGGGCACAUGUUUGCCAGUGUCACCAAAACAUUGGGCGUGUUCCUCGCUGUCAGCAGAAAAGGGGCGAAACCUACUUUUGAUGGACAAAAAGGCUCACUGGAGGACCAGAAGGAGACUUGUCCUCCUGCCAUUCGGAGCUCCCCUAUUGGUGAACGCGGAAGUUGGGCCAUGAGGUUCUGAAGUUCCUGCCCCUCCCCUCUCUCAAUGAAGAUUGAGCUUCACUCAGACUGCAGCUUCCUUCCUCUGUCCAACAUCUGGCCACCAGAAGCCUUCUCAGUACUCUACAAGUGACUUCACCAACAUCCUGUACACCUUCAACAUGAUGUCCCAACUCCUUUAUUCAAUGGUGUGAACAAUUAAGCUACCCGAUGAAGGAGCAGCGCACCGAAAGCUAGUGCUUCCAAAUAAAUCUGUUGGACUAUAA